Molecule: transfer RNA, 66 nt
Filed under: Sphyranura euryceae
Lineage: Eukaryota; Metazoa; Platyhelminthes; Monogenea; Polystomatidea; Sphyranuridae
Description: tRNA-Gly
Source: RNAcentral
GUGCAUGUAUUUUAUAUAAAGAAUUCUAUCUUUCCAUGUUAGAGGACCAGUUAUUUGGUAUGUACA